GGAAGUAAAAGUCGUAACAAGCUUUCCGUAGGUGAACCUGCGGAAGGAUCAUUAAAGAGAAUAUGCCCUUCGGGGUAGAUCUCCCACCCUUUGUUUAUAUUACCUUUGUUGCUUUGGCAGGCCCGUCUUCGGACCACCGGCUUCGGCUGGUCAGUGCUUGCCAGAGGACCCAAAACUCUUAUUAUUAAUGUCGUCUGAGUACUAUAUAAUAGUUAAAACUUUCAACAACGGAUCUCUUGGUUCUG
RNAcentral lists this unclassified non-coding RNA (245 nucleotides) under plant metagenome. RNAcentral describes it as "partial contains small subunit ribosomal RNA, internal transcribed spacer 1, and 5.8S ribosomal RNA". The stretch from base 1 to 54 matches the Rfam family "Eukaryotic small subunit ribosomal RNA", at positions 1778 to 1831 of the family's 1831-position model. The record is from RNAcentral.